RNAcentral lists this ribosomal RNA (704 nucleotides) under uncultured Bacilli bacterium. Its description in RNAcentral is "bacterial SSU rRNA". It matches the Rfam family "Bacterial small subunit ribosomal RNA", at positions 42 to 727 of the family's 1533-position model. The record is from RNAcentral. Lineage: Bacteria; Bacillati; Bacillota; Bacilli.
GCGUGCCUAAUACAUGCAAGUCGAGCGGACCGAUGGGAGCUUGCUUCCUUAGGUCAGCGGCGGACGGGUGAGUAACACGUGGGUAACCUGCCUGUAAGACUGGGAUAACUCCGGGAAACCGGGGCUAAUACCGGAUGCUUGAUUGAACCGCAUGGUUCAAUCAUAAAAGGUGGCUUUUAGCUACCACUUACAGAUGGACCCGCGGCGCAUUAGCUAGUUGGUGAGGUAACGGCUCACCAAGGCGACGAUGCGUAGCCGACCUGAGAGGGUGAUCGGCCACACUGGGACUGAGACACGGCCCAGACUCCUACGGGAGGCAGCAGUAGGGAAUCUUCCGCAAUGGACGAAAGUCUGACGGAGCAACGCCGCGUGAGUGAUGAAGGUUUUCGGAUCGUAAAACUCUGUUGUUAGGGAAGAACAAGUACCGUUCGAAUAGGGCGGUACCUUGACGGUACCUAACCAGAAAGCCACGGCUAACUACGUGCCAGCAGCCGCGGUAAUACGUAGGUGGCAAGCGUUGUCCGGAAUUAUUGGGCGUAAAGCGCGCGCAGGCGGUUUCUUAAGUCUGAUGUGAAAGCCCCCGGCUCAACCGGGGAGGGUCAUUGGAAACUGGGGAACUUGAGUGCAGAAGAGGAGAGUGGAAUUCCACGUGUAGCGGUGAAAUGCGUAGAGAUGUGGAGGAACACCAGUGGCGAAGGCGACUC